UAAUACUGGAUAGGCAAAUUUUUCCUGUAAUGGUUUUUUUGUUUAAAUGUUUUUUCGCCUAAGGAUGGGUCUGCGGCCGAUUAGGUAGUUGGUUAGGUAAUGGCUUACCAAGCCUUUGAUCGGUACGGGUUGUGAGAGCAAGAGCCCGGAGAUGGAACCUGAGACAAGGUUCCAGGCCCUACGGGGUGCAGCAGGCGCGAAACCUCCGCAAUGUGAGAAAUCGCGACGGGGGGAUCCCAAGUGCCAUUCUUAACGGGAUGGCUUUUCAUUAGUGUAAAGAGCUUUUGGAAUAAGAGCUGGGCAAGACCGGUGCCAGCCGCCGCGGUAACACCGGCAGCUCUAGUGGUAGCAAUUUUUAUUGGGCCUAAAGCGUCCGUAGCCGGUUUAAUAAGUCUCUGGUGAAAUCCUGUAGCUUAACUAUGGGAAUUGCUGGAGAUACUAUUAGACUUGAGACCGGGAGAGGUUAGAGGUACUCCCAGGGUAGAGGUGAAAUUCUGUAAUCCUGGGAGGACCGCCUGUUGCGAAGGCGUCUAACUGGAACGGUUCUGACGGUGAGGGACGAAAGUUAGGGGCGCGAACCGGAUUAGAUACCCGGGUAGUCCUAACUGUAAACGAUGCGGACUUGGUGUUG
RNAcentral lists this ribosomal RNA (631 nucleotides) under uncultured archaeon. Its description in RNAcentral is "bacterial SSU rRNA". It matches the Rfam family "Archaeal small subunit ribosomal RNA", at positions 147 to 776 of the family's 1478-position model. The record is from RNAcentral.